CUAUGUCAUGCUUAUUCCUUGACCCUCCCCACCCGAAUGGUGCCCCCCUUCCAUCACUCUCCUCUUACCCUUCUUUAUUUCUCUUCACAGCAUUUGUCAGUACUUUACAUUAUUCCAUACUAGAAGGCAGAUCCAGUUCCUAAUGGUUUGCGAGCUUUGCCAGUUUUCUAUGCCUGCACAGUUGGAAUAAAUCUCUUUUCCAUCAUGUAUACUGGAGCACCGUUGCUGGGCUUUGACAAACUUCCUCUGUGGGGUACCAUCCUCAUCUCGGUGGGAUGUGCAGUUUUCUGUGCCCUUAUCGUCUGGUUCUUUGUAUGUCCCAGGAUGAAGAGAAAAAUUGAACGAGAAAUAAAGUGUAGUCCUUCUGAAAGCCCCUUAAUGGAAAAAAAGAAUAGCUUGAAAGAAGACCAUGAAGAAACAAAGUUGUCUGUCGGUGAUAUUGAAAACAGGAAUCCUGUUUCUGAGGUAGGGCCUGCCACUGUGCCCCUCCAGGCUGUGGUGGAGGAGAGAACAGUUUCAUUCAAACUUGGAGAUUUGGAGGAAGCUCCAGAGAGAGAGAGGCUUCCCAGCGUGGACUUGAAAGAGGAAACCAGCAUAGAUAGCACCGUGAAUGGUGCAGUGCAGUUGCCUAAUGGGAACCUUGUCCAGUUCAGUCAAGCCGUCAGCAACCAAAUAAACUCCAGUGGCCACUACCAGUAUCACACCGUGCAUAAGGAUUCCGGCCUGUACAAAGAGCU
RNAcentral lists this small RNA (737 nucleotides) under Pongo abelii (Sumatran orangutan). Its description in RNAcentral is "processed transcript". The record is from RNAcentral. Lineage: Eukaryota; Metazoa; Chordata; Mammalia; Primates; Hominidae.